RNAcentral lists this ribosomal RNA (253 nucleotides) under uncultured bacterium. RNAcentral's name for it is "partial 16S ribosomal RNA". It matches the Rfam family "Bacterial small subunit ribosomal RNA", at positions 524 to 776 of the family's 1533-position model. The record is from RNAcentral.
UACGGGGGGGGUAAGCGUUGUUCGGAAUUACUGGGCGUAAAGGGCUCGUAGGCGGCCAACUAAGUCAGACGUGAAAUCCCUCAGCUUAACUGGGGAACUGCGUCUGAUACUGGAUGGCUUGGAUUUGGGAGAGGAAUGCGGAAUUCCAGGUGUAGCGGUGAAAUGCGUAGAUAUCUGGAGGAACACCGGUGGCGAAGGCGGCUCUCUGGACCGAGACUGACGCUGAGGCGCGAAAGCGUGGGGAGCAAACAGG